This 28-nucleotide small RNA is filed under the name Bombyx mori (domestic silkworm). RNAcentral describes it as "ovarian small RNA-20809". The record is from RNAcentral. Lineage: Eukaryota; Metazoa; Arthropoda; Insecta; Lepidoptera; Bombycidae.
UACCUAAAAGCGGGUGGAUCGGGGGGAU